AUAAGAAAGUAAUUAAGGGCGUACGGUGGAUGCCUUGGCUCUCAUUGGCGAUGAAGGACGUGAUAAGCUGCGAUAAGCUUCGGGGAGGUGCAAAUAACCUUCGAUCCGGAGAUUUCCGAAUGGGGAAACCCGGUUGGUUGAAGACCAAUCAUUCCGAAAGGAAAGCAAACUCGGUGAACUGAAACAUCUAAGUAACCGAAGGAAAAGAAAACAAUAGUGAUUCCCUAAGUAGUGGCGAGCGAACGGGGAAAAGCCCAAACCAAUUUUGUUACGGCAAAAUUGGGGUUGUAGGACUGUGACGUGGAAUAUAAAUUUAUAGUGGAAUUUUUUGGAAAACUGAACCAUAGUGGGUGAUAGUCCCGUACACGAAAUAAAUUUAUUACCUAACAGUAUCCUGAGUACCGCGGGACCGGAGAAAUCCUGUGGGAAUCUGCCAGCACCAUCUGGUAAGGCUAAAUACACGUGAGAGACCGAUAGUGAACUAGUACUGUGAAGGAAAGGUGAAAAGCACUUCGAACAGAAGAGUGAAAUAGUACCUGAAACCGUGCGCUUACAAGCGGUAGGAGGCGAAAUAUGAUUUAUCAUAUACAGCUGACUGCGUGCCUUUUGCAUAAUGAGCCUACGAGUUACUCCUCUCUAGCAAGGUUAAAUCCGAUGACGGAUGGAGCCGAAGCGAAAGCAAGUCUGAAUAGGGCGUAUAGUUAGAGGGGGUAGACGCGAAACUUUGUGAUCUACCCAUGACCAGGUUGAAGCUCUGUUAACCCAGAGUGGAGGACCGAACCAGUUAACGUUGAAAAGUUUUUGGAUGAGUUGUGGGUAGGGGUGAAAGGCUAAUCAAACUGAGAGAUAGCUCGUACUCCCCGAAAUGUUUUUAGGAACAGCCUCGAGGUUGAGUGUCAUAGAGGUAGAGCUACUGAUUGGACUAGGGGGCUUCAUCGCCUACCAAAUCCUGACAAACUCCGAAUGCUAUGACAUAUACUCGGGAGUGAGGCGUUGGGUGCUAAGGUCCAGCGCCGAGAGGGAAAUAACCCAGACCAUCAGCUAAGGUCCCCAAAUUUAUACUAAGUUGAUCUAACGAAGUCUGAUUGCAUUGACAGCUAGGAUGUUGGCUUGGAAGCAGCCAUUCAUUUAAAGAGUGCGUAACAGCUCACUAGUCGAGCGAUCGGGCAUGGAUAAUAAUCGGGCAUAAAGUAUAAUACCGAAGCUAUGGAAUUGAUGUAAAUCAAUUGGUAGGGGAGCAUUCCAGUUGCGUCGAAGAUGUGUCGUAAGGCAUGUUGGAGCGUCUGGAAAAGCAAAUGUAGGCAUAAGUAACGAUAAUGCAGGCGAGAAACCUGCACACCGUAAGACCAAGGUUUCCUGAUCAACGCUAAUCGGAUCAGGGUUAGUCGGGUCCUAAG
This 1397-nucleotide ribosomal RNA is filed under the name Candidatus Chloroheliaceae bacterium. Its description in RNAcentral is "partial 23S ribosomal RNA". It matches the Rfam family "Bacterial large subunit ribosomal RNA", at positions 1 to 1395 of the family's 2925-position model. Lineage: Bacteria; Bacillati; Chloroflexota; Chloroflexia; Candidatus Chloroheliales; Candidatus Chloroheliaceae. The record is from RNAcentral.